Molecule: ribosomal RNA, 616 nt
Filed under: uncultured Ralstonia sp.
Lineage: Bacteria; Pseudomonadati; Pseudomonadota; Betaproteobacteria; Burkholderiales; Burkholderiaceae
Description: bacterial SSU rRNA
Rfam family: Bacterial small subunit ribosomal RNA
Source: RNAcentral
UUUCCUCUUCUAUUUUUCUCAGCUUUCUUCCUACGGGGGUGAGCAGUGGGGAAUUUUGGACAAUGGGCGAAAGCCUGAUCCAGCAAUGCCGCGUGUGUGAAGAAGGCCUUCGGGUUGUAAAGCACUUUUGUCCGGAAAGAAAUGGCUCUGGUUAAUACCUGGGGUCGAUGACGGUACCGGAAGAAUAAGGACCGGCUAACUACGUGCCAGCAGCCGCGGUAAUACGUAGGGUCCAAGCGUUAAUCGGAAUUACUGGGCGUAAAGCGUGCGCAGGCGGUUGUGCAAGACCGAUGUGAAAUCCCCGAGCUUAACUUGGGAAUUGCAUUGGUGACUGCACGGCUAGAGUGUGUCAGAGGGGGGUAGAAUUCCACGUGUAGCAGUGAAAUGCGUAGAGAUGUGGAGGAAUACCGAUGGCGAAGGCAGCCCCCUGGGAUAACACUGACGCUCAUGCACGAAAGCGUGGGGAGCAAACAGGAUUAGAUACCCUGGUAGUCCACGCCCUAAACGAUGUCAACUAGUUGUUGGGGAUUCAUUUCCUUAGUAACGUAGCUAACGCGUGAAGUUGACCGCCUGGGGAGUACGGUCGCAAGAUUAAAACUCAAUAAUUUUGAAGGGG